Zalophus californianus (California sea lion) is the source of this 612-nucleotide long non-coding RNA. RefSeq lists it as uncharacterized. The record is from RefSeq and is a predicted model, not a curated record. The transcript has 2 exons. Lineage: Eukaryota; Metazoa; Chordata; Mammalia; Carnivora; Otariidae.
GUAGCCAUUGUUUCCAGAUACAAGCUAACGUGAGGAGGGUUGUAAGACUACCUCCGUACAGCGAUGUGGAAGCCCAGGGCAGAGCAUGGUGAAGUCGGAGAAAGGGGGUGAGGGCAGCCUCCAGCCGGGAAGGGGAGCUUCCCUGGUACAUAAAAUUGCAGAGGCGCCCGUGGCAGAGGACGCGGCGCGCGCAAACACGCGGAGGCGGGCGACCGGCAGAGCCUGGGACCUGGGGACUACAGGGGGACCAUGGCCGGGGCAGAGUAUAACAGCCUGGCCAGAGGGUCAUACGUGAGCAGACUGUCAUCACAGCGUCGGGAGCUGCGCGCCCCAGCGUCCUCCAGAGCCCAGCCUUGCCAGCGUCGGUUCUCAGCACUGUUCUCACGGUGUCAUCGCGCGGUGGGUGGGGAAGGAAAGCGUUCCUCCUCGUUUCAGAUUGCACUUCCUAAUUGUCAGGCUUUGAACACCUUGUUGUCUGUUCCCUGCUAUUGGGGUUUGCACUUCAUCGAAUUUGCAUCAUAAUCGCUUAUUUUCAAAUUAAGUGGUCCUUUUCUUAGUGUAUGGAAGCUUUGUAGAUUAUGUUUAUGUAGUAAUAAAAACACAUUUCUCAGC